GGCCAGACUCCUACGGGAGGCAGCAGUGGGGAAUAUUGCACAAUGGGGGAAACCCUGAUGCAGCGACGCCGCGUGAGCGAAGAAGUAUUUCGGUAUGUAAAGCUCUAUCAGCAGGGAAGAAAAUGACGGUACCUGAGUAAGAAGCUCCGGCUAAAUACGUGCCGGCAGCCGCGGUAAUACGUAUGGAGCAAGCGUUAUCCGGAUUUACUGGGCGUAAAGGGAGCGUAGGCGGCCUGCCAAGUCUGAUGUGAAAUACCGGGGCUCAACCCCGGGGCUGCCGUUGAAACCGGAGCGCUGGAAUUCCGAUGCCGUCGGAGGAAUGUGUGGUGUAGCGGUGAAAUGCAUAGAUAUCACACAGAACACCGAUUGCGAAGGCACCUGACGAAUCGGAGAUUGACGCUGAUGCACGAAAGCGUGGGUAUCGAACAGGAUUAGAUACCCCAGUA
Molecule: ribosomal RNA, 446 nt
Filed under: uncultured bacterium
Lineage: Bacteria
Description: bacterial SSU rRNA
Rfam family: Bacterial small subunit ribosomal RNA
Source: RNAcentral